RNAcentral lists this ribosomal RNA (700 nucleotides) under uncultured bacterium. RNAcentral's name for it is "bacterial SSU rRNA". It matches the Rfam family "Bacterial small subunit ribosomal RNA", at positions 42 to 787 of the family's 1533-position model. The record is from RNAcentral.
UCAGGCCUAACACAUGCAAGUCGAACGAAGUAGCAAUACUUAGUGGCAGACGGGUGAGUAACAUGUAGGUAUCUGCCCUUUGGCCUGGAAUAACACGAGGAAACUUGUGCUAAUACCGGAUAAGUCUUUACGGAGAAAGCUUUAUGCACCAUUGGAUGAGCCUGCACUUGAUUAGUUUGUUGGUGGGGUAAUGGCCUACCAAGACUAUGAUCAAUAGCUGAUUUGAGAGGAUGAUCAGCCACAUUGGGACUGAGACACGGCCCAAACUCCUACGGGAGGCAGCAGUGGGGAAUCUUGCACAAUGGAGGAAACUCUGAUGCAGCGAUGCCGCGUGAGUGAAGAAGGCCCUUGGGUUGUAAAGCUCUUUCGUCGGGGAAGAAAAUGACUGUACCCGAAUAAGAAGGUCCGGCUAACUUCGUGCCAGCAGCCGCGGUAAUACGAAGGGACCUAGCGUAGUUCGGAAUUACUGGGCUUAAAGAGUUCGUAGGUGGUUGAAAAAGUUGGUGGUGAAAUCCCAGAGCUUAACUCUGGAACUGCCAUCAAAACUUUUCAGCUAGAGUAUGAUAGAGGAAAGCAGAAUUUCUAGUGUAGAGGUGAAAUUCGUAGAUAUUAGAAAGAAUACCAAUUGCGAAGGCAGCUUUCUGGAUCAUUACUGACACUGAGGAACGAAAGCAUGGGUAGCGAAGAGGAUUAGAUACCC